AGUGAACGCUGGCGGUAGGCCUAACACAUGCAAGUCGAACGGCAGCACAGUAAGAGCUUGCUCUUACGGGUGGCGAGUGGCGGACGGGUGAGGAAUACAUCUGAAUCUACUUUUUCGUGGGGGAUAACGUAGGGAAACUUACGCUAAUACAGCAUACGACCUACGGGUGAAAGCAGGGGAUCUUCGGACCUUGCGCGAUUGAAUGAGCCGAUGUCGGAUUAGCUAGUUGGCGGGGUAAAGGCCCACCAAGGCGACGAUCCGUAGCUGGUCUGAGAGGAUGAUCAGCCACACUGGAACUGAGACACGGUCCAGACUCCUACGGGGGGCAGCAGUGGGGAAUAUUGGACAAUGGGCGCAAGCCUGAUCCAGCCAUACCGCGUGGGUGAAGAAGGCCUUCGGGUUGUAAAGCCCUUUUGUUGGGAAAGAAAAGCAGCAGGUUAAUACCCCGCUGUUCUGACGGUACCCAAAGAAUAAGCACCGGCUAACUUCGUG
RNAcentral lists this ribosomal RNA (492 nucleotides) under uncultured bacterium. Its description in RNAcentral is "partial 16S ribosomal RNA". It matches the Rfam family "Bacterial small subunit ribosomal RNA", at positions 29 to 507 of the family's 1533-position model. The record is from RNAcentral.